CCUAUUUACGGGCUCAAGUCAGUAGCGAGUGUUACUAAGUAGAAGGCACUCUAAACGAUGCUCAUAUGAAAAGUAGCUCAAGGACAAGUUAAAUAAAAACCUGACGUUCCUUCUGAAGACGGUUAAAAACCAGGCUGAAAUUCAAGACAGUGUGAAGUUUAAAUAAUAAAAUGCUUUUAAAAGUGCCCUACGAGAAAUCGAUCAGACAAGGAUGGUGGUAGAAUGGUGAAAAUUGAAAUAAAUGAAGAAUCGCUAUUUAUGCUGCAGCUCCAGAGGGUGUAGCCAGGAGAUAGACAUUUGUCAACCUGUGAGCAGUACAUCGUGGGAAGGUUUCACAGCUACCGUGUAGAUGUGGCCCAGCAGUAGCCCCUCCACUCCCCCACGUGAAUGGUGCACACCGUGGUGCGUUCACAGGCUGUGUACCUCUGACACGAAAAGACUGAGGAGGCAGUGGUGGCACUGAGGGUGACGUCCCAUUUCCGGCAACCCCCCCCAUCCCCAGCAGCUGUGCACUCUCGUGCUAAAAGGCACCGCUCGCGAGCCCACUAAAGGGUUCCUCUUCCUCAUGUAACACCCCCACCCCACUCCCCACUUCUCUCAUGGACACAGUGCAUCCUGCACAGGAUCCUCCACAGUUCAUACCACAGAGAUUCAGCUUCGAACAGCAGUCGUGCUUUAACCACAUACAGGCUUUAGUCACAUGUCACCGUUUUGUCGUUGCGUUGCGUGUUUAUAUGUCCGACCGUGCGUUGGGCGAGCAUGUUGGUGAUGUUCUGGGGUCUUCAACUGAAGGUUGCAUUCCGGAAAUUAUUCUUUGGUCAGUGAAAAUAUCACGGUUUCACCCUAAGUAUGUGUGCACUAUGCAUGUAUUUAUGCAGAACUGGAGUCUAGCAUCUUUGUGGUAUAUUUGUAGUGUCUGGUCUUACUGCAUAAUUAGAUGCCGUUCUCAAAUAAAACUCUUCAGAGCAGACAACAGUUUAGACCAACUUAUGCUUGACCAAUAAAAUAGAGUUUGUAGUUUGAAAAGUCUGCUUUAUAAUAAUGUGCAUAUGAUGUGAAUUUUGCAACUUUGUGUUUAUUGGGUUUUUAAUACUUAAGAAUACUUUUACAGUGAUUUCAGUAUUAUUGUUGUAUGAUAUCAGGACAAAAAAGGAGUAUAGGAGCGUUUGGUGGCUGAUCCCCCUUCAGCAACUGCAUUUUCCUUCCAUGCAAAGUAUCACAAUGUAGUGCCAUCUACUGGAAUUCUUAAUGCACUACGGGUGAAGCAUCCAGCUAGCGUCCUGAAAUUGUAAUAGAUCUUUUCAGUGUUCCCUAUACAGGUAUCAUUAAUUAGGAUUCCAAUAGUAAGCUUUGGGCAAACAAAAUAUCUAAUUCACAAUAAUUUAGCGGACUAAA
Brienomyrus brachyistius is the source of this 1395-nucleotide long non-coding RNA. RefSeq lists it as uncharacterized. The record is from RefSeq and is a predicted model, not a curated record. The transcript is spliced from 3 exons. Lineage: Eukaryota; Metazoa; Chordata; Actinopteri; Osteoglossiformes; Mormyridae.